CAGUAGCCGCGGUAAUGCGAAGGGUGCAAGCGUUACUCGGAAUUACUGGGCGUAAAGCGUGCGUAGGUGGUUGUUUAAGUCAGGGGUGAAGUCCCGCAGCUCAACUGCGGAACUGCCUUUGAUACUGGGUAUCUUGAGUAUGGAAGAGGUUAGUGGAAUUGCGAGUGUAGAGGUGAAAUUCGUAGAUAUUCGCGGGAACACCAGUGGCGAAGGCGGCUAACUGGUCCAUAACUGACGCUGAGGUGCGAAAGCGUGGGGAGCAAACAGGAUUAGAUGCCCCUGUAGUCCCUGUCUCUUAUAC
RNAcentral lists this ribosomal RNA (301 nucleotides) under uncultured bacterium. Its description in RNAcentral is "partial 16S ribosomal RNA". It matches the Rfam family "Bacterial small subunit ribosomal RNA", at positions 509 to 807 of the family's 1533-position model. The record is from RNAcentral.